AUGCAUGCAUGCAUGCACGUCCCGUCCGGCGUCCGGUCGUCAAGUCCAAGCACUCCGGCAACGAUGGGAUGGCGGUCGGGUGCCGCCUCCGGCUCGCAGACCGUGAACACGAAGGGCCCCAUGGGCACGUCGUCGUCGAGCGCGAGCAGCGGCUCGAGGGCGUCCACGACGUCGCGCAUCCGGGGCCGCGCCUUGGGCACGCUCUGCAGGCAGGAGUGCGCCACGGCCGCGGCGCCGCGCGCCGCCCGCGUGGAGUACUGCGACUCCAUGCCGGGGUCCAUGACGCGGUGCAGCCGGUCGUCGGCGCGGCGCAGGUAG
RNAcentral lists this ribosomal RNA (318 nucleotides) under Triticum aestivum (bread wheat). Its description in RNAcentral is "partial small subunit ribosomal RNA". Lineage: Eukaryota; Viridiplantae; Streptophyta; Magnoliopsida; Poales; Poaceae. The record is from RNAcentral.